This 253-nucleotide ribosomal RNA is filed under the name uncultured bacterium. RNAcentral describes it as "partial 16S ribosomal RNA". It matches the Rfam family "Bacterial small subunit ribosomal RNA", at positions 524 to 776 of the family's 1533-position model. The record is from RNAcentral.
CACGUAGGGACCAAGCGUUGUCCGGAAUUACUGGGCGUAAAGGGCGCGUAGGCGGCUAGAUGUGUCAAAGGUGAAAUCCCUCGGCUCAACUGAGGAACUGCCUUUGAAACUGUCUGGCUUGAGGCCGGGAGAGGGUAGCGGAAUUCCCAGUGUAGCGGUGAAAUGCGUAGAUAUUGGGAGGAACACCAGUGGCGAAGGCGGCUACCUGGACCGGUUCUGACGCUGAGGCGCGAAAGCGUGGGUAGCAAACAGG